AGUGGAAUAGCUCAAUGGAAGAGCAGCCGCCCUUUUCAAUUACAGAAUACCUAGGUUGACGUGAGUUCGAUUCUCACAUCUGCUC
Molecule: transfer RNA, 85 nt
Organism: Blastocystis sp.
Lineage: Eukaryota; Bigyra; Opalinata; Blastocystidae
Rfam family: tRNA
About the family: Transfer RNA (tRNA) molecules are approximately 80 nucleotides in length. Their secondary structure includes four short double-helical elements and three loops (D, anti-codon, and T loops). Further hydrogen bonds mediate the characteristic L-shaped molecular structure. tRNAs have two regions of fundamental functional importance: the anti-codon, which is responsible for specific mRNA codon recognition, and the 3' end, to which the tRNAs corresponding amino acid is attached (by aminoacyl-tRNA synthetases). tRNAs cope with the degeneracy of the genetic code in two manners: having more than one tRNA (with a specific anti-codon) for a particular amino acid; and 'wobble' base-pairing, i.e. permitting non-standard base-pairing at the 3rd anti-codon position.
Source: Rfam